Non-coding RNA from Puccinia graminis f. sp. tritici CRL 75-36-700-3, 114 nucleotides. The record is from the annotation of a RefSeq genome assembly. Lineage: Eukaryota; Fungi; Basidiomycota; Pucciniomycetes; Pucciniales; Pucciniaceae.
GACCGUAGUGUCAGUUGGUAGAGCAUUCGACUCUUAUCUCCUUCAGAGUUCCUCCAGUGACCUUCAUGGUUAAACGGUAUCGAAUUGUCGUGGGUUCGAGCCCCACGUUGGGCG